AAAAUACGAGUUGUUUUUCAUUCUUUCGAUUGUUCGCACAAAUUAAAAAUUGGAAAUAAGCAAAUGAACCAAGUGUUGGGUUUCCUGUUGCCAUUGUUGAUGUCUGCUUUGGUCUGACCCAGAAGUUCCUGACUUCUACGUGUGUUGAUUUGGACAGUGGUGGGUUUGCUUGUAUUCUGUCUAAUGCAUUCUGUGAUAAUGGAGAAUUUGGUGUAAUUCAGAGG
This is a long non-coding RNA of Sphaeramia orbicularis (orbiculate cardinalfish), 224 nucleotides long. RefSeq lists it as uncharacterized. The record is from RefSeq and is a predicted model, not a curated record. The transcript has 3 exons. NCBI's taxonomy places the organism in Eukaryota, Metazoa, Chordata, Actinopteri, Kurtiformes, Apogonidae.